Molecule: ribosomal RNA, 251 nt
Filed under: Acinetobacter baumannii
Lineage: Bacteria; Pseudomonadati; Pseudomonadota; Gammaproteobacteria; Moraxellales; Moraxellaceae
Description: partial 23S ribosomal RNA
Rfam family: Bacterial large subunit ribosomal RNA
Source: RNAcentral
GGGGCUGGGUGAGUCGACCCCUAAGGCGAGGCCGAAAGGCGUAGUCGAUGGGAAAAUGGUUAAUAUUCCAUUACUUCUGUGUAAUGCGAUGAGAGGACGGAGAAGGCUAAAUCAGCCUGGCGUUGGUUGUCCAGGUGAAAGGAUGUAGGCAUGUAUCUUAGGCAAAUCCGGGGUACUCUAUGCUGAGAUCUGAUAGCAAGCUGUACUUGUACAGCGAAGUGGUUGAUGCCAUGCUUCCAGGAAAAGUCUCU